AUGUCUCUCUCGGCCUUUGGGCUAAGUUCAAGUGUAGUAUCGGUCUGUUAUAUCUGAUAGGUGGACUAUUGGUUCACGUGAUAUUAAAUUAAUUGAAAAAAUAACCGUAU
Vigna angularis (adzuki bean) is the source of this 110-nucleotide small nuclear RNA. It matches the Rfam family "U2 spliceosomal RNA". Rfam says of the family: U2 is a small nuclear RNA (snRNA) component of the spliceosome (involved in pre-mRNA splicing). Complementary binding between U2 snRNA (in an area lying towards the 5' end but 3' to hairpin I) and the branchpoint sequence (BPS) of the intron results the bulging out of an unpaired adenosine, on the BPS, which initiates a nucleophilic attack at the intronic 5' splice site, thus starting the first of two transesterification reactions that mediate splicing. The record is from Rfam. NCBI's taxonomy places the organism in Eukaryota, Viridiplantae, Streptophyta, Magnoliopsida, Fabales, Fabaceae.